Ovis aries (sheep) is the source of this 72-nucleotide transfer RNA. It matches the Rfam family "tRNA". Rfam says of the family: Transfer RNA (tRNA) molecules are approximately 80 nucleotides in length. Their secondary structure includes four short double-helical elements and three loops (D, anti-codon, and T loops). Lineage: Eukaryota; Metazoa; Chordata; Mammalia; Artiodactyla; Bovidae. The record is from Rfam.
UUCCUGGUGGCUCAGAUGGUAAAGAAUCUGCCUGCAAUGCAGGAGACCUGGGUUCAAACCCUAGGUUGGGAA